RNAcentral lists this ribosomal RNA (483 nucleotides) under uncultured bacterium. RNAcentral's name for it is "partial 16S ribosomal RNA". It matches the Rfam family "Bacterial small subunit ribosomal RNA", at positions 28 to 507 of the family's 1533-position model. The record is from RNAcentral.
GACGAACGCUGGCGGCGUGCUUAACACAUGCAAGUCGAACGCUGAAGCGCAGCUCUUGUUGGGCGGAUGAGUGGCGAACGGGUGAGUAACACGUGAGUAACCUGCAUCCUUCUUUGGGAUAACGCCCGGAAACGGGUGCUAAUACUGGGUAUUCACUGGUCUUCGCCAGGGGGUAGGUGGAAAGGGCGUUUCUGGUGUGGGAUGGGCUCGCGGCCUAUCCGCUUGUUGGUGGGGUUAUGGCCUAGCCAGGCGUUGACGGGUAGCCGGAGUGAACGGGUGAACGGGCACAGUGGCACUGAGAUACGGCCCAGAGUCGUACGGGGGGGAGCAGUGGCGAAUAUUGGACAAUGCGCGACAGCGUGAUGCAGCGACGGCGAGUGAGGGAUGGAGGCCGUCGGGUUGUGAAACUCGUGCGCUAAUGGUCUGGCCGUAACUAUGCUCGUGGUGAGGGUAGUGGGUAAAGAAGCGCCGGCUAACUACGUG